Molecule: ribosomal RNA, 197 nt
Filed under: uncultured bacterium
Lineage: Bacteria
Description: partial 16S ribosomal RNA
Rfam family: Bacterial small subunit ribosomal RNA
Source: RNAcentral
ACGCUCGACACCUACGGAGGCAGCAGUGGGGAAUAUUGCACAAUGGGGGGAACCCUGAUGCAGCGACGCCGCGUGAGUGAAGAAGUACUUCGGUAUGUAAAGCUCUAUCAGCAGGGAAGAAAAUGACGGUACCUGACUAAGAAGCCCCGGCUAACUACGUGCUAGCAGCCGCGGUAAUCUGAGCGGGCUGGCAAGGC